This is a long non-coding RNA of Dalotia coriaria, 754 nucleotides long. RefSeq lists it as uncharacterized. The record is from RefSeq and is a predicted model, not a curated record. NCBI's taxonomy places the organism in Eukaryota, Metazoa, Arthropoda, Insecta, Coleoptera, Staphylinidae. The transcript has 4 exons.
AGUUCACUCAGUCCAAAUCCUGUGACAAUGGAACGUGGAAGAAGAAUCUCGGACUGGUGCUUAUUUGGAUGGUGGGCUUUUGUUGGCGGUGCUGGUUUGUUUUUAGCUUUUGCACCAUUAUUCAAUGAAGUUAGAGAAUUACCACUGCCAAUGUGGUUAUUUUAUGAUUGGUCACCAGAUGAAUAUUACUAUCCAACUGUUGCGAUCCAAAGUUGUGCACAAGUCUUUAUGACUUCUAGUUUCGCUAAUAUUGAAAUGUAUAAUGUUUGUGCAAACGUAUUAAUGACACACCAAUUUAAUUUACUUGGUGAGGAUUUUACUUAUAUUAUUCCUAACGCUUUAUUGCAGUGUGGUAUGCCUCAAGAAGAAAUUGAUGAGUAUCUAAAAGAUAAAGAAAAGUAUUUUUAAAUACUUGCUAUAAAUUAAUUAUUUGUUUUGCUUUAAAAUUUUAGCUCACGUUAUAUUGUAAAGAUUAAUAAGUUGAAAGAUACUGACAAGUUUCAAAAAGUGGCCAUAUCCAAUUUUAAAAUGUGUAUCAAACAUCAUCAAGAAUUACUAAAUUUCAGAGAUGAAUUUUAUUCUUUUAUUUCUCCGAUUCUUGCAGUUGAAGUGAACUUUUUAUUUGUCUACAUGAUUUUUGUACUUUUCACAUGGAUAACUACUGAUAACAAAGCAUUAUAUCCGGCAUUAUUUCAAUACUUCUUUGGAAUUGUUGGUCAAAUUUACAUCAAUACAUUAGCCGGCGAACAAUUGA